Molecule: ribosomal RNA, 253 nt
Filed under: uncultured bacterium
Lineage: Bacteria
Description: partial 16S ribosomal RNA
Rfam family: Bacterial small subunit ribosomal RNA
Source: RNAcentral
UACGUAGGUGACCAGCGUUGUCCGGAUUUACUGGGCGUAAAGAGCGCGCAGGCGGUCGUUCAAGUCGAGUGUGAAAGCCCCCGGCUCAACUGGGGAGGGUCAUUCGAUACUGAUCGACUGGAAGGCAGGAGAGGGUAGUGGAAUUCCCGGUGUAGUGGUGAAAUGCGUAGAUAUCGGGAGGAACACCAGUGGCGAAGGCGACUACCUGGCCUGUUAUUGACGCUGAGGCGCGAAAGCUAGGGGAGCAAACGGG